GAUGAACGCUGGCGGCGUGCCUAAUACAUGCAAGUCGAGCGAACAGACGAGGAGCUUGCUUCUCUGAUGUUAGCGGCGGACGGGUGAGUAACACGUGGAUAACCUACCUAUAAGACUGGGAUAACUUCGGGAAACCGGAGCUAAUACCGGAUAAUAUAUUGAACCGCAUGGUUCAAAAGUGAAAGACGGUCUUGCUGUCACUUAUAGAUGGAUCCGCGCCGCAUUAGCUAGUUGGUAAGGUAACGGCUUACCAAGGCAACGAUGCAUAGCCGACCUGAGAGGGUGAUCGGCCACACUGGAACUGAGACACGGUCCAGACUCCUACGGGAGGCAGCAGUAGGGAAUCUUCCGCAAUGGGCGAAAGCCUGACGGAGCAACGCCGCGUGAGUGAUGAAGGUCUUCGGAUCGUAAAACUCUGUUAUUAGGGAAGAACAAAUGUGUAAGUAACUAUGCACGUCUUGACGGUACCUAAUCAGAAAGCCACGGCUAACUACGUG
RNAcentral lists this ribosomal RNA (497 nucleotides) under uncultured bacterium. RNAcentral's name for it is "partial 16S ribosomal RNA". It matches the Rfam family "Bacterial small subunit ribosomal RNA", at positions 28 to 507 of the family's 1533-position model. The record is from RNAcentral.